AAAUUGUUUUUUUCUGUUUUGGUUGCAGGAAUGAGUAUCAAUUAUCAUAUUCCAAAGAUGUGGAGUUUUAGAAGACAUUACCUUACCAGUGAGGAGGAGACCGCCACUGAAUACUGAGUAGAAGUUUCUCAGGGCUGUUUUUUUUUUUUUUUUUUAAUGAGCUGAAACACCCUGUUCACAAAUGCAUGUAAUGGUGUAGGACGAUUAUAAGGUUAUAAAGUAACUAUAAUUGGUUACUCUACUUAAGGUCUUUUUUUAAACUAGUACACAAUGUAAAGUUGGAGUGUCUAUGCUUAAGUACAUUUGAAAUCAAAUACUGUUAUAUUCUUUUUUGUGGUCAUAAGUGAGGACUUCUACUUUUACUGCUGUAGUGUUUUACCUUGAGUAACUCUACUUUAACUAAAGUGUGAUUUUGUGUAUUUUGCCAGACAAUUAAAAUCUAUUUGGUCUUGGAAUCUUAUAUAUAUAUAUAUAUAUUACUUGCCUGCAUUUCAGGUGAAACUCCAACAAGAACAUUGUAGAUGAUCUCUGGCAGACACACGUGAAAAUUUUAAACUAAGGCUCUUUCAGCUAUUAAUAAUACACUUUAGAACUACUUAACUGCUGCAUUUAAGCAUUAAAGAGCACAAAUAACAACCCUCACUGCGCUUGCUGCGCCUCCUAUAUAAAGUCUUAGCCCCUCCUUUCAGACCAAUCCAACUGAAGUAGCUUCAAUUAACUAAAUAAUCAAACUUAUAAAUUAAUUUAAAGGCUAAACACCCACAUAGUAUAAACAUUAAAGCAUAUGAUGAACACUGAAGCAUAAAUUAAUAAAUGUUCAUAUCAAAAACAUGUCAGAAAUAAAAAGCUACACUCUAAUACCCCCUGUCCCAAACUUCAGGAAUGGUAUGUUCCACUCCUAAAGGCGGGAGACACCUGUAUAACUGGGCUGAUUGGGACGGUUGGUUCUAUUUGUUAGCGUCCCAGUGCUGCUGCAAGAAUGAGUCAAUAUAUCCUGAUUUCAAAGAUGUUAAGUUGAAGAGCGUGAUCUUACCAGUGAGGAGACCACCACUAUAUUGAGUAGCAUUUUUUAAAGUUUUUUUUUUUUUUUUUUUUUUUUACAAACUUAUUUACAAGUACAUGUGAUGGUCUAGGACCGUUUCAAAGUAAAUAAAAUAUAAAUUUUAUUAUUAUUACUUUA
RNAcentral lists this long non-coding RNA (1180 nucleotides) under Astyanax mexicanus (Mexican tetra). RNAcentral describes it as "lncRNA (ENSAMXG00005007031.1)". The record is from RNAcentral. Lineage: Eukaryota; Metazoa; Chordata; Actinopteri; Characiformes; Acestrorhamphidae.